GACGAACGCUGGCGGCGCGCUUAAUACAUGCAAGUCGAGCGAGAACCAGGGCUUCGACUCUGGGGACAGCGGCGAACGGGUGAGUAACACGUGGGUAAUCAACCCCCGACACCGGGAUAGCCCAGGGAAACUUGGAUUAAUACCGGAUGCCCCGUCUGGCCUUCGGGCCGGCCGGAAAAGGGUAGCUUCGGCCUCUGGUCGGGGACGAGCCCGCGGCGGAUUAGCUUGUUGGUGAGGUAAAGGCUCACCAAGGCGACGAUCAGUAGCUGGUCUGAGAGGACGAUCAGCACACUGGGACGGAGACACGGCCCAGACUCCUACGGGAGGCAGCAGUAGGGAAUCUUGCGCAAUGGGCGAAAGCCUGACGCAGCGACGCCGCGUGAGGGAAGAAGGCCUUCGGGUUGUAAACCUCUUUCAGGAUGGACGAAGCCACUCGGGUUAAUAGCCUAGAGGGUGACGGUACCUCCAGAAGAAGCCCCGGCUAACUACGUGCCAGCAGCCGCCGCCG
RNAcentral lists this ribosomal RNA (508 nucleotides) under uncultured bacterium. RNAcentral's name for it is "partial 16S ribosomal RNA". It matches the Rfam family "Bacterial small subunit ribosomal RNA", at positions 28 to 523 of the family's 1533-position model. The record is from RNAcentral.